This 497-nucleotide ribosomal RNA is filed under the name uncultured bacterium. RNAcentral describes it as "partial 16S ribosomal RNA". It matches the Rfam family "Bacterial small subunit ribosomal RNA", at positions 28 to 507 of the family's 1533-position model. The record is from RNAcentral.
GAUGAACGCUGGCGGCGUGCCUAAUACAUGCAAGUCGAGCGAACGGACGAGAAGCUUGCUUCUCUGAUGUUAGCGGCGGACGGGUGAGUAACACGUGGAUAACCUACCUAUAAGACUGGGAUAACUUCGGGAAACCGGAGCUAAUACCGGAUAAUAUUUUGAACCGCAUGGUUCAAAAGUGAAAGACGGUCUUGCUGUCACUUAUAGAUGGAUCCGCGCUGCAUUAGCUAGUUGGUAAGGUAACGGCUUACCAAGGCAACGAUGCAUAGCCGACCUGAGAGGGUGAUCGGCCACCCUGGAACUGAGACACGGUCCAGACUCCUACGGGAGGCAGCAGUAGGGAAUCUUCCGCAAUGGGCGAAAGCCUUACGGAGCAACGCCGCGUGAGUGAUGAAGGUCUUCGGAUCGUAAAACUCUGUUAUUAGGGAAGAACAUAUGUGUAAGUAACUGUGCACAUCUUGACGGUACCUAAUCAGAAAGCCACGGCUAACUACGUG